CUUCAUCUGCGGAUACACUCCUUGAUGUAAGCACUCCAGAAACAGGUGUUGGAAGAGGAACUGCUGAUUUGGGACGUCUGUUCCAUAGUUUGACUGGACAUUCAUCUCCAUUAUUUGAUGAAGAAGAAAACUCAUCAAGGGAGAUCACUAUAAAUCUCGUACCAACAAGAGAGGAAAAUCCUAAUUCAGAGG
Bombina bombina (fire-bellied toad) is the source of this 192-nucleotide long non-coding RNA. RefSeq lists it as uncharacterized. The record is from RefSeq and is a predicted model, not a curated record. The transcript has 3 exons. NCBI's taxonomy places the organism in Eukaryota, Metazoa, Chordata, Amphibia, Anura, Bombinatoridae.